Molecule: long non-coding RNA, 639 nt
Organism: Hemiscyllium ocellatum (epaulette shark)
Lineage: Eukaryota; Metazoa; Chordata; Chondrichthyes; Orectolobiformes; Hemiscylliidae
Exons: 2
Source: RefSeq, a predicted model, not a curated record
AGGACAGCUCGCCAUUCCAGACAGCAGUCUGACCCGCAGAAUCAGAACACUGAAGAAAAUUCAUUCAAUUACACCGAAAACUCUGAAUAAAAUGAGAAACGAAACGCAAGACCACAAUGUACUUCCUCCAUCAGGGAUGUGUUUUCCUGUUUACACAUUGGAUUUCCUCAGAUAUCAGCGCGGAAAGGCAAUUAAAAAAAAGAUGACAGAAACAUUUCGGCAUUCUGCGAGAAAAAAAACUGACUCCUAACAAUGAUUUUAAAAGAUCCCUCCCCAGCCCCUCACACUGCACACCGGAAGCGGCCAGAAUUAAAAACUUGACGGAUCCGAGGACUGUGUCACAACAAAUGAUUAUCAACGGGUGAGAAACUUGACAUUUACUGAUGAGAAAUGUCAAAGUAUAAUUUUCGUCUUAUAUAUCUACAUUUCUCCUUAGACUGGUUUGUGACUGCUCAAGUAAUCGUUACAAUGGGUAUCAAAAUAUGUAGACAAUCGUCAUAUUAGCAUGACAGGAAGUCCAUUACAGUAAGGGAGAUUUGUUUCCAACGUUACUUGAUAAAGGCAUAUGGCAACAAUAUUCAAGUACUGUAAUAAACAGUAAGUGCAGUAUAUAAAUAAAAUGCUCACUAAAUUAUAAAA